This 210-nucleotide ribosomal RNA is filed under the name uncultured bacterium. RNAcentral's name for it is "partial 16S ribosomal RNA". It matches the Rfam family "Bacterial small subunit ribosomal RNA", at positions 568 to 773 of the family's 1533-position model. The record is from RNAcentral.
CAUGUAGGCGGUUUUUUAAGUUCCGGAGUGAAAAUAGCGGGGCGUCAACCCCGUACUGGCUCUGGAUACUGGAAGACUUGAGUGCAGGAGAGGAAAGGGGAAGUUCCCAGUGUAGCGGUGAAAUGCGUAGAUAUUGGGAGGAACACCAGUGGCGAAGGCGCCUUUCUGGACUGUGUCUGACGCUGAGAUGCGAAAGCCAGGGUAGCAACG